Molecule: non-coding RNA, 45 nt
Organism: Schistosoma curassoni
Lineage: Eukaryota; Metazoa; Platyhelminthes; Trematoda; Strigeidida; Schistosomatidae
Source: Rfam
AUCAAGCUGAUGAGUCCUCAAUGGGACGAAACGCGCGUCCUGGAU